Biomphalaria pfeifferi is the source of this 280-nucleotide non-coding RNA. NCBI's taxonomy places the organism in Eukaryota, Metazoa, Mollusca, Gastropoda, Planorbidae. The record is from the annotation of a GenBank genome assembly.
UUAGCAGACGAUGUUAGGCUGAGCCUGAUUGAUACAACACUUGGCAAACAAUGUUAGGUUGAGCCAGACAGAUACAACACUUAGCAGACAAUGUUAGGUUAAGCCAGACUGAUACGGACACAUUGACAAACUUUAUGAUAAUUCCGACAGUGACAUUUAGUUGCAGGCUUCAUAGUGACGUGCUUAGGUUAUCUUGGUUAUUUGGUAGAACUGAGAGACAUGACAAGAUUUUCAUGUAUGGGUCCGGGUCAACUACAUCUUAGGGGCCUAGAUCUAAGUU